AGGGCAAUCUGGGAAAGUGGCCAAGCACGGUAUUAGGGAGCGAUGCACCCAGCCACAGCCUGCUGGAGGCAGCAGACCUCACCUUCCCCGGGCACUGGAUCAGGCUGUGCUGCUAUUCAAAAUGCUGCUGAGGAGCCAUGUAUUUAUUCCCAAGAUUAUGGAAUCAAGUGAAGAUAGGAGACUUUUGACUUCCACUUCAAAGAAAUUCUACAGGCUGGAUGGAGAAGAAAUAUGUCCGGAUCACUGUGGCACAGGACCCAAACUGGAAGGAGCAGGAUCCCAGCCUUACUCUGCCAUGGCUACAGGGCUUUCAGACCCACACUUCCUAGCCAGCUGUCUUUGCUGCCUGCUGUGGGCACACAUUGCUGGGGAAUGUAGAUAACUAGCUGUGAAAGUGUCCUUCAUGGCAAAUGGUGAAAGCCUAAAGUCUUGAAUUCUAAACAAGACGAAAGGGAAGAAAUAAAUGUUUUGCUUUGAGGAAGUGGACUUGCA
RNAcentral lists this long non-coding RNA (492 nucleotides) under Anas platyrhynchos platyrhynchos (common mallard). Its description in RNAcentral is "lncRNA (ENSAPLG00000022740.1)". The record is from RNAcentral. Lineage: Eukaryota; Metazoa; Chordata; Aves; Anseriformes; Anatidae.